AUGGCUUCCAGUGCUUUGAUGAAACCUCAGACACAUGGGUUUCAUAUUAUUGGAGCAUUUGUUGCUUCCCUGAGGGUUGCAGCUCUCUAUGUUUGCUCUGACCAAACCAAGGAAGAAGGCAUGUGCAGAUUUUUACAGAAAUUAUGAUUCCAUAAAAGAUUUUGAGGAGAUGAGGAAGGUUGGUACAUUUCAGAGUACAAAG
Molecule: long non-coding RNA, 202 nt
Filed under: Homo sapiens (human)
Lineage: Eukaryota; Metazoa; Chordata; Mammalia; Primates; Hominidae
Description: non-protein coding lnc-OPHN1-4:1
Source: RNAcentral